UGUGGAGGCAGCCUGUCAUGAUUUGGGGGAGACCUCAGUACGUUAGAAGUUGACUUUUGGUUUUUUAAGAGUUGCUUUUAAAUUAAUAACAUAUUUCCAAGGAUAUGCUAUGGCAUUGGAAAGCCAAAGGAUUCACGAAUUUUGUUGUUACAGUUGUUGCUAAUAAAAGGAGUAUUACUCUUCCCUCUGUGUCAGAGCCUUACAAGAUACAAGAAAAGAAGGGACCUUGGCCAACAUUCAUGGGACACUAAAUUAAGGACUAUCUUUCUGCCCAAAAACCUAGGGGAAUUCUGAUUUUGGCCUCCAGGGGCAAGUCCCAGAGCUGAAGGGAUAAAAAAGUUAGACUGGAAAUUAAGUACAUGGCUGGUCCACACCAUACUGGAAUGCCCAUACUACUAUGUUGGUUUUUGGUGACUGAAUAAGUUGACCCAAGAACUCGAUAUCAUUUGGAUUUCAGAUUGUCCAGGGUGGAGAAGUCAGAAUCAUCAAAAUGACUCAGUGAAACCCUUAGACAUAAUGAAUUACUCGUCCAUCUGAUUUCUGGCCCCUUCUCUCUUGCCCUACUCUGACACUGACCCUUUCUCAGGACGAUAUCUGCCUGGCUGUUUUCUCUACUGUGCUGUCAGUCCCACCUGUACCUUGCAUGGUAAUACAGAGGAAUGUGAAGCAGUCAUGUUUCCAGGAAAUGCUUGGAUCCAUGUCACAGAUGUCUGACAAGCAGGAUGGGAAGGUCAAUGAUCCCUCACACGCCGAAGGAGGAAUAUCUUUUCCAUCCAAGAGAGGAUUGAGGCAGAAUGUAAGAAAUACUCAACUGGGAACUAGCCUUUGACGGUUUCUUAAUGUCUUUUGGUCUGGGGAUAGCUCAUCAGUAAAAUGAGUGGGCUGGACUGCGUCAAUCAAUUCCCAGGUUUUUUAUUGUGACUAUGUAAAAAAUCCCUAGAAUAUGUGUAUGUAUAUAUCUUGAAGACUUUUUCAGUAAACUAUUCUUACCCAUAUGACGUGGGAUACAUCCUGAUAUUCUAUUUUUUCCUUUUUUUUAAUAAAAAAUUCUGUUGUCACAACCCAUCGAGUUGAUUUUAACAGCUACUAAUGGAGACUGGCGUGUUUGAAAGGUACUGGGUAAUCUCCAAGUUAAUCACUCAUUUACUUGGUCAUUUUCCAGCUAUUUACUGAGUAUUUAUGAGGUGUCAGCACUGUGAUGGGAGCCAGGAAAAUGGCAAUGAACAAAACAAAGAACCUGUCCUUGUGACACAUAUAUCCUGGGAAAUCUCUGAUUCUGCGAGGUAAUGUUUUAUAGGCUUUUUCAGAAGGAAGGGAAUUCCAACUCAAUCAGCUAAAGUCAUAGAAUGGGUUUGACUUAAAGGAGAAAAUAGCAGAAACACAAAUUUUUUGAAACCCCUGGCAGGAACCCACCUCAAGGUCAAAACAGUCUGAACCCAAACUGUAUGCAUCUGUGUCAAAUGAAGAUUUCCGUGGGUCCUAAAUCUGCUCCAGUAACUGCUUGGAAGUCCCUGAGGAUGUUUCUUUCUCCCUUUACCAUACUUUGCAAAAAUCAAGGUGGCUUGAAGGGCAGACUUUUUUAGAUAAGAGAUUCCAGAAGCCAGAGUGGUGGAAACGGAUGCUAGAUAGCACUCUGACCAAAGGACACUCCCCUGAAAAGUCUUACCCCUAUGUUCGCACAUUAGCCAUACCUCCAGCACUUUCAAACUUACAGGUUUAUGAUUGAAUUUUCCAGAAACCAUGUUAUGCCAUUUUUAUACAGCAGAGGGAAGCAGGGCACCCAAAAUCAUUGCAUAAAUUAAUAUCUGAGGGACACACACACACACCUGCCUGUGUCUUGUGACUUUAGGUACUAAAUAAUAAUAUCACAGGAUUGAAAACAAAUUCUGGGCAAAAUGCUGCAAAAGGAGAUGCUUAUUUUAGGUUAACGGCUCUAUUUUAGCCUCUGCCAGUCUGAUUAUCUCCCAUCAGUUCCUGGGAGACUCAUCCAGCAGGAGGCCCUCUUUUCAGUUUGGCCUGCUGGCAGUCUGAUCACUCCCUAUUUUCCUUGCCCCAUGGACUUGCUAAGUCAUGGAAUGUCUCUGUGGUCUUCUGAGUCCAGGCUUGAUGCACAGCCUUCGGACCAUGACACCUUUUACUUUAGCUGUCGAGGAUGGUAAGGUUCCUGCUCUCUUCUACAUAUUGCACAAAGUGGAAAAUAGCACAAACUGAAGUGUGAUCAUGCUGAGUAGUCAGCUGUGUUUGGGAGAAAUGAGAUAUAAACUUAAUUAUACAAAACCUCAGGGUCCAAUCAGUUUUCCAAAGCCCUCCCUUUAUUUUUUAAUCCCCCCCCCCCCCACUUCUUUACAGACUUGUCCCUGUGCUUUUUAGCACUGGCCACUCCUCAAAUAGAAACAGAUGCUGCAAUGGACAAUAGGCUUAGCCAUGACUUUCCCUUUCCAGCUCUCAUGGACUCCUUCCCUACCCAAGUGUAACCAGGCAGUUAGUCUAGAAGGGCUCUUUCAAGUGUGACCAUGGAUUUACUUUUUUAAGAUAAGAGGGGAGGGCAGGAUCAUAUAACUGGUAAGACUUUAAGGUUAUCAUCAAGAGUCAGCAAGGAUUAUGGCUCCAGUGUUUCUGGGUACUCAGCAUCAAUGAGGUGGAAAGAAGUGAGAGGCAUCUUUUCUUUGAAAGUCGAACUUGCGAUUUUGAAAUAUUAUCCCAGUAGCUGGCCAUCCUGGGUCAGUGGCUAAGAUAUAACACAAUGGACAGAUCAUUUUAAAGUUUCAGUAAGUUCAACAAUGCUAAUGAACUGAUUUUUUUAAAAAGCAUUAAAUGUCCACAUUUCUAUGACUAAUAGAAAAUAAAAUUUUAAAGGUAAAAAAAGGGGAGGGGACAAAAACAGGAAACAGAAGUAGUUAGGAUAAAAGGGAGUUAGCAGAAAAGAUACUGGGCAGGAUGUGGUAGACAGGCACCAGUAACUGUUUCAGGGGGUGCCUGGGCGGCCCAGUUAAGCCUCUGA
RNAcentral lists this long non-coding RNA (3001 nucleotides) under Suricata suricatta (meerkat). RNAcentral describes it as "lncRNA (ENSSSUG00005010937.1)". Lineage: Eukaryota; Metazoa; Chordata; Mammalia; Carnivora; Herpestidae. The record is from RNAcentral.